GAACAAAUUUUAUUUCCGCUUUGAGAAAAUGCCACGGUAGAGUUUGUUGACUGUGUCUGAAUCUGCAUACCAUUUUAUUUAGAAGAUUCUGAUACGGCAAAAUGACAAACGCAUAUUCGUUCGAGGGAAUCAUUGUGUUCAGUAUGUUGGUCAUCUGCACCUGUGCCUACAUGAGAAGAGUUCCACGACUGAAAAAGUGGUUUUUAUCAGAGAAAAAGGGGUUUCUUGGGGUGUUCUAUAAAGCGUCUGUGAUUGGUACUAGACUUCAUGUUCCUGUGGCUUUGACUUGCAUAUUAAUGGCGUUCUACAUUCUGUUUCUGAGGUGAUAAGAAUCAAACAAGUGAAGGAAAGUGACUGAUGUAUAUAUAUUUAAAAAAAGAAUGGUUUCAUUGACAACAUGUGGGUACAAUCAUGACGUAUGGUACAAUGCAUUUUUGCUGUGAUAAAAGUAUUGUGCUCUGUUUUGUAAAAUUGUGAUGUAAUUUGACAUUUACAUAUGAAAUAUGUGUAUUCAGUAGGUGUAACAUUUGCAAAACAAAAUACAAGAAUUGAUAGAAACAAUUAAAGAAAUGGAUUCUCAAAGUCAAGUGAUAACUUUUAAUAGAGAUGGGUUGGGAAGCAACAGAGUAAGGGUCCAGAGGACUUAUAUAUAAUAAAUGCAAUAUCAUGUUUCAAAAAUGUGAUUUCUUUAUCUUUUAAAAUUUGUAUUUUUUGUUAACAAAAGGUGUUAGUGAUGCAGGCACAGUAAAAAAGAAUGUAUGUAUUGAAAAUACUAUAGUGGGAUUGAAAAUACUGUGAAAUGAAACACUGGGUGUUAAAUCAAAAACAUCAGUGAAUAGACGAUUUAGAAGGGAUCUGAACUUUUUAUUAAUUAUUUUUGUUUAUCUGUACCUUUCAAUGUUGUUAUGAUUUUGUACUGUACAGUGCAUGUACCCAUUUGUACCAGCUCAUAUCACACACUUUUUAUGUAUGCAGCAGAAUUACAGUGAAAAUAGUAGAAUUCUGCUUAUUAAAUAGAGUAGAAGAAACAUCACUAUCAAACAGAUGUUUUGUGGAUAAUAUGUACUCAGUGUUACUGAAUGUUUGCUGUCACACAGCAGGAUCAUUCUUUAACAUAUACAUGUAUAUGAAAUGUAUAUAUUCUUAAGUUUUAAAUAUGUGUAUUUAUUAUUCAUGCUUUUUGAUUGUCUGUAAAAUAUUAAAUAAAAAGAAAAAAAAUAUUCUUUUUUAUGUUCAUCUUUGAAGAGAAUAAGUUGGAAAAAACAUUUUUG
RNA transcript from Saccostrea cuccullata (small rock oyster), 1271 nucleotides. It is a transcript of the gene named protein kish-B-like, with no coding region annotated. NCBI's taxonomy places the organism in Eukaryota, Metazoa, Mollusca, Bivalvia, Ostreida, Ostreidae. The record is from RefSeq and is a predicted model, not a curated record. The transcript is spliced from 4 exons.